Molecule: ribosomal RNA, 484 nt
Filed under: uncultured bacterium
Lineage: Bacteria
Description: partial 16S ribosomal RNA
Rfam family: Bacterial small subunit ribosomal RNA
Source: RNAcentral
AUUGAACGCUGGCGGCAGGCCUAACACAUGCAAGUCGAGCGGAUGAAGGGAGCUUGCUCCUGGAUUCAGCGGCGGACGGGUGAGUAAUGCCUAGGAAUCUGCCUGGUAGUGGGGGAUAACGUCCGGAAACGGGCGCUAAUACCGCAUACGUCCUGAGGGAGAAAGUGGGUGAUCUUCGGACCUCACGCUAUCAGAUGAGCCUAGGUCGGAUUAGCUAGUUGGUGGGGUAAAGGCCUACCAAGGCGACGAUCCGUAACUGGUCUGAGAGGAUGAUCAGUCACACUGGAACUGAGACACGGUCCAGACUCCUACGGGAGGCAGCAGUGGGGAAUAUUGGACAAUGGGCGAAAGCCUGAUCCAGCCAUGCCGCGUGUGUGAAGAAGGUCUUCGGAUUGUAAAGCACUUUAAGUUGGGAGGAAGGGCAGUAAGUUAAUCCCUUGCUGUUUUGACGUUACCAACAGAAUAAGCACCGGCUAACCUCGUG